GCACAAGCGGUGGAGCAUGUGGUUAAUUCGAUGCAACGCGAAGAACCUUACCUAGACUUGACAUCCCGGGAAUCCUUAGGAACUAAGGAGUGCCUUUCGGGGAGCCCGGAGACAGGUGCUGCAUGGCUGUCGUCAGCUCGUGUCGUGAGAUGUUGGGUUAAGUCCCGAAACGAGCGCAACCCCUAUUCUAUGUUACAAGUGUCUUAGAAAACCGCCUCGGUAAAACGAGGAGGAAGGUGGGGGAUGACGUCUGGUCCGCGUAGCCCUUAUGUCCUGGGCUACACACGCGCUACAAUGGCCGAUACAGUAGGAAGCCAAAUCGUAAGAUGGAGCUAAUCCUUAAAGUCGGUCUCAGUUCGGAUUGAGGUCUGAAAUUCGACCUCAUGAAGUUGGAUUUGCUAGUAAUCGUAGAUCAGCAAUGCUACGGUGAACUACGUUCUCGGGUCCUU
RNAcentral lists this ribosomal RNA (449 nucleotides) under uncultured Thermovirga sp. RNAcentral's name for it is "bacterial SSU rRNA". It matches the Rfam family "Bacterial small subunit ribosomal RNA", at positions 923 to 1382 of the family's 1533-position model. The record is from RNAcentral. Lineage: Bacteria; Thermotogati; Synergistota; Synergistia; Synergistales; Thermovirgaceae.